CACCAAUUCUUGCAUGGCCAAGCAAUGGAAUGAGAAUAGAGGUUGAGAAAAAGAAUUUGGCAGAAAACUACAAUGAUGGUCAGAGGAAGGGCUAAUGGUUCGUUGAAACUGUUGAUUAUAGCUUCAUCAAAUUUCGUCAACCAAGCAAGAUUGUGUGACAUUGUUUUCUUUCAAUUUUUUUCCUGGUUGGAUUUGUACCUCUUCCGUACUUCUAACACACACAUGGCCUAACUUUUUAGGCACACAUGGCAAAACAGCCACUUGAUUUUACCCCAUGGGGACCCCCAUAAAGUUGUAGACUGAUUUUCAAAUUUGAUGAAGCU
RNAcentral lists this unclassified non-coding RNA (323 nucleotides) under Hevea brasiliensis (rubber tree). The record is from RNAcentral. Lineage: Eukaryota; Viridiplantae; Streptophyta; Magnoliopsida; Malpighiales; Euphorbiaceae.